GGCCUGAAAAUGUGACAGGAUCAUGAAUGUCAAAGGUGAAGCAUAUAGAAAAAACGACUUCAUAGAAAUGAAUAAAGAUAAAUGUGGAUAUAUGUACCAGUCUGGUGGUGAAGAAAUUCUGAAACCCAGAACUUUAUAACAAGAAAAAAAUUUUUUAACCCUGUGAAGAAGUUUGUGAAAGAAACUUGUGAAGUAGUAAUAAUUAGAAAAAAAACCAUUAAAACACCAGAGAAAAUACAUAGAAAAAUUUGAGAAAUUGUCAUUUGAUUUCUGAAUAAGAGCUUACAGGUGUCCUGUGAGUAUUGAAACAAUGAAAUGUAGUGAUUUUAAUUUUGAAAAGAAAAUCUUAAGGAAAGUAACUUGACACCCAACCAUCUUGAAGAGGGUAUUUGAAAUGCUGUAAUUUUAUCCCAGCUUUGUUCAGCCAUGACAAAAGUGACCUGUCAGAUGCUUAGUAUUGUAAUAACCUCAUUUCCCUUUCCAAAUUUAGAGUAUCUUUAAUACUAUUUUUUUUAGACAGAGUCUCAAUCUGUCACCCAGGCUGUAGUGCAAUGGCUGCAGUCUUGGCUUACUGCAACCUCCAUCUCCCGGGUUCAAGCGAUUCUGCCUCAGCCUCCUUAGUAGCUGGGAUUACAGGCGUUAGCCAGCACACCCAGCUAGUUUUUGUAUUUUUAGUAGAGACAGGCUUUCACCAUGGUCUCGAACUCCUGACCUCAGGCGAUCCGCCUGCCUUGGCCUCCCAAAAUGCUGGGAUUAUAGGCGUGAGCCAUGGCACCUGGCCUAAUACUACUUUUAACUACCAUUUUCACUUUUUAUUAGUUCAAGAAAAGGCAUACACAUUUAUUCAACAUGUAUACAUGGGGAGAACCAGUCAUUACCCUGAUGUUCAUUAUUUUGAUCACCACGAUAGAGCUGACUACUCUGCUAUGUAGUGCAUUUUGGGACUGCACUUAUGUAUGUUUUUGUUUAACGUGGACAAAGACUUAUAGAUAGGUGCAAAAAAUAAAUCCUCUUUUGCAACCCAGAACUCAUUGUUCAGUAUGAGUUUUGAUACAUAUAAGAAGGGAUAUUAUGAUACCUGAGACAGUUGAUUGAUGGGAGUAUUGAUAGCCAUAAAGGUUGGUUCCCGGCCAGGUGCAAUGCGUCAAGCCUGCAAUCCCCACACCAAGGUGGGAGUAUUGCUUGAAACCAGGAGUUCAAGACCAGCCUAGGCAAGAAAGCUUUUAUCUUGAGAACAUGGUGUCUGGAGUUAAAGAUAAUCUACUUUUUUACCUUAGGUAUUGGCAUACUCCACACAUCUGUACCAUUCUUGAGUGAUCGCUUAGGAAUGAAUGUGAUUUGAACUCAUUCAUGUUGAGAGGGUGUCAAAUUGAGAACCAGGCAGAUCCCCACCACCUACAGUAAAAAGGACCCUAAAGUAAAUUGGUUGAAGAAAUUAGAUCCCAAAGAUUCUUGGUGAAUUUUGAAGUCUUCAUCAGUAUAUCCAUAUUAAAACGAGAUGACAGAAGCCAAAGUAAUUAUGGGCUGACAGGACAACUGGAUCAGUUUCAUUAAAAAGGGCAAACUUGAAGAUAAAUCUUUUGACUCCAGCUCUUUAGAGGAUCUAAAGUGACCUUGAUGGACAGUGGAAGAAAUCACAACAUGGAAUUCCUCGAAUAACAAUUUAUUGACUUUAAAUAAUUUUGUCUAAUGCUACAUAUACACAAUUAAAAAACCUUUACACUAUUUCUAGAA
This 1734-nucleotide small RNA is filed under the name Pan troglodytes (chimpanzee). RNAcentral describes it as "processed transcript". The stretch from base 946 to 1071 matches the Rfam family "Small nucleolar RNA SNORA40". The record is from RNAcentral. Lineage: Eukaryota; Metazoa; Chordata; Mammalia; Primates; Hominidae.